GACCUCGUGGCGCAACGGUAGCGUGUCUGACUCCAGAUCAGAAGGUUGAAGUGUUCAAAUCACGUCGUGGUCA
This 73-nucleotide transfer RNA is filed under the name Salmo salar (Atlantic salmon). It matches the Rfam family "tRNA". From Rfam's summary of the family: Transfer RNA (tRNA) molecules are approximately 80 nucleotides in length. The record is from Rfam by way of RNAcentral. Lineage: Eukaryota; Metazoa; Chordata; Actinopteri; Salmoniformes; Salmonidae.